CACCAUGGGAGUGGGUUGCUCCAGAAGUAGCUAGUCUAACCGCAAGGGGGACGGUUACCACGGAGUGAUUCAUGACUGGGGUGAAGUCGUAACAAGGUAGCCGUAGGGGAACCUGCGGCUGGAUCACUCCUUAA
Molecule: ribosomal RNA, 134 nt
Filed under: Pseudomonas sp. ATCC 13867
Lineage: Bacteria; Pseudomonadati; Pseudomonadota; Gammaproteobacteria; Pseudomonadales; Pseudomonadaceae
Description: partial 16S ribosomal RNA
Rfam family: Bacterial small subunit ribosomal RNA
Source: RNAcentral